RNAcentral lists this ribosomal RNA (468 nucleotides) under uncultured bacterium. RNAcentral's name for it is "partial 16S ribosomal RNA". It matches the Rfam family "Bacterial small subunit ribosomal RNA", at positions 28 to 507 of the family's 1533-position model. The record is from RNAcentral.
GACGAACGCUGGCGGCGUGCUUAACACAUGCAAGUCGAACGGAAAGGCCCUGCUUUUGUGGGGUGCUCGAGUGGCGAACGGGUGAGUAACACGUGAGUAACCUGCCCUUGACUUUGGGAUAACUUCAGGAAACUGGGGCUAAUACCGGAUAGGAGCUCCUGCUGCAUGGUGGGGGUUGGAAAGUUUCGGCGGUUGGGGAUGGGCUCGCGGCUUAUCAGCUUGUUGGUGGGGUAGUGGCUUACCAAGGCUUUGACGGGUAGCCGGCCUGAGAGGGUGACCGGCCACAUUGGGACUGAGAUACGGCCCAGACUCCUACGGGAGGCAGCAGUGGGGAAUAUUGCACAAUGGGCGGAAGCCUGAUGAAGCAACGCCGCGUGCGGGAUGACGGCCUUCGGGUUGUAAACCGCUUUCGCCUGUGACGAAGCGUGAGUGACGGUAAUGGGUAAAGAAGCACCGGCUAACUACGUG